This 591-nucleotide small RNA is filed under the name Pongo abelii (Sumatran orangutan). Its description in RNAcentral is "retained intron". The record is from RNAcentral. Lineage: Eukaryota; Metazoa; Chordata; Mammalia; Primates; Hominidae.
GUUUGCCUCGUUCUAAUCAGAGCUUCCAGGAACCCUGCGCUGUGGGAUAGAGGAAUGAGGUUCAGAAAGGGGCAGGGAGUUGCCCGCAGCCGUACCGCACGUCUUCAGCCCGACCGUUGUCCUGACCUCUCUGUCCCGUCCCCUGCCCAGUUUCACCAUGGCCUUCUGGACACAGCUGAGGCUGCUGCUCUGGAAGAAUUUCAUGUAUCGCCGGAGACAGCCGGUCCAGCUCCUGGUCGAAUUGCUGUGGCCGCUCUUCCUCUUCUUCAUCCUGGUGGCUGUUCGCCAUUCCCACCCGCCCCUGGAGCACCAUGAAUGCCACUUCCCAAACAAGCCACUGCCAUCGGCGGGCACCGUGCCCUGGCUCCAGGGUCUCAUCUGUAACGUGAACAACACCUGCUUUCCGCAGCUGACCCCGGGCGAGGAGCCCGGGCGCCUGAGCAACUUCAACGACUCCCUGUGAGCCAGAGGCAGUGGGUGCGGCCGGCCUGCAAACUUGGGGCUGCAAUGCCGGCCGGAACCCCGCCUCCUGCCCUCUCUCUGUCCCCAGGGUCUCCCGGCUGCUAGCCGAUGCCCGCACUGUGCUGGGAG